GGUCAAGGAUGGACUCGCGGCCUAUCAGCUAGUUGGUGGGGUAAUGGCCUACCAAGGCGACGAUGGGUAGCCGGCCUGAGAGGGUGUCCGGCCACACGUGGGACUGAGAUACCGGCCCAGACUCCUACGGGGAGGCAGCAGUCGAGAAGCUUCGGCAAGUGGGACGAAAGCCUGACCGAGCGAUGCCGCGUGAGCGAAGAACGGCCCUAGUGGGUUAGUAAAGCUCUGUCAGAGUUGGGAAGAACGCGUCCGGGGUUAAUACCCUCGGGGUUUGACGGUACCAUCAGAGGAAGCACCGGCUAACUCCGUG
This 310-nucleotide ribosomal RNA is filed under the name uncultured bacterium. Its description in RNAcentral is "bacterial SSU rRNA". It matches the Rfam family "Bacterial small subunit ribosomal RNA", at positions 217 to 507 of the family's 1533-position model. The record is from RNAcentral.